UGGCAGACACCAGUUCAACUCCAGAUGCUAGUAGUGUCAUAUCUUCACCAGCAGAUGGGAGCCAAUCUGAAUCCACCACCAGCUCAGAUACCCAAACAGUGACUGUUCACCUUAAAGUCUCUGCUUCGUCCUAUGAUAACGAAAAUGAAGCUGUGAUUUUAGAGGCUUUAUCCAAUUUUAUAUCUCAGACUCUUAUCGAGCAGAAUUGUGAGGACUGCACUGCAACAAUCAAAUCCAUCAAACUCACCCGGGAAAAGGUCUAAUUAGACCAAAAACAGGUCGAGUGCCAGUGAAACUGCAAUAAAUCAUCACAAAAAGAACAAGUAAAAAACUACAAGAACAGCAUUGAAAAAGCAUAGUUGUAAAAAUACUGCAGUUUCGGUGAAUUGUUUUCACAGGGGACACAAACCCCAUUCUCCUGGGUAAACGUCUGCAGUUAGUUCGACCCAAGAGUUGGGAGAGAGCUGAAUAUCACAUAGAUGCAAGGAUGACACAUACACUAAAAAUACCCAGUGAAGGUUUUCUACCACGAGAAGGAACAUUACUGUACACAAGAAAAACAGAAAGAAUUAAUAGUGAUUUCCUUUUGCUCCAAACCUGAAGCUCCUAAAUAUAACUUGGCCUAAACAUGACCACUGGCAAUGAUGUCCAGUGUUCUUUUCCUCCAGCUUUUUGCUGUAUAUCAUAGAAAGUAUAACAAAAUAGUUCUUUACUGCAGCCACAUUGUUCUGGGAUUUUGCAUUGUUUCAAAGAUCUGAUGUCCAGUUUUCAAGUUAAUUUUAGGAACCAAACGUUCCUCUGAAAUCUCACUUUUUUGAACAAAUCUUUUGACAAUAUAUCAGACUCGACUGUGUGUUUCACUGCCAAACACACUAUUGAUUCAAAGAUUCUGUUCUCACAGCUGUGCAUACACUGUAUGAUAAUAUUGAUAAUGAAUUUCAAUAAAUUGAUUAUUUAUCACUAUCUGAUACUGUCAGAAAAAAGCUCAAUGUGCAAUAAAUGAUAAUACAAAAUGUUGCUUGCACUUGCUCAUCAUAUAUAUCUGAAUAGCAGUGC
This is a long non-coding RNA of Centropristis striata (black sea bass), 1056 nucleotides long. RefSeq lists it as uncharacterized. The transcript has 3 exons. The record is from RefSeq and is a predicted model, not a curated record. Lineage: Eukaryota; Metazoa; Chordata; Actinopteri; Perciformes; Serranidae.